GGCGAAGUAGCCAAGUGGUAAGGCGUGGGUCUGCAACACCCUGAUCACCGGUCCGAAUCCGGUCUUCGCCU
RNAcentral lists this transfer RNA (71 nucleotides) under Oribacterium sp. oral taxon 078 str. F0262. RNAcentral describes it as "tRNA-Cys". It matches the Rfam family "tRNA". Rfam says of the family: Transfer RNA (tRNA) molecules are approximately 80 nucleotides in length. The record is from RNAcentral. RNAcentral also lists the same sequence under 4 other names. Lineage: Bacteria; Bacillati; Bacillota; Clostridia; Lachnospirales; Lachnospiraceae.